This 316-nucleotide long non-coding RNA is filed under the name Lathyrus oleraceus (garden pea). RNAcentral's name for it is "Pisum sativum (pea) long non-coding RNA (PSAT_LNC031432)". Lineage: Eukaryota; Viridiplantae; Streptophyta; Magnoliopsida; Fabales; Fabaceae. The record is from RNAcentral.
UCUAAUUAAUUUGAUUUUAUUAAUAUAUAAUUUUGGUUUUAUUUUAUCAAUUAAAUUAAAAAAAAUUGUUUUGUUUUAUUAAUUUAGUGAAAUUUUUAUUUUAUUUUAUUAAUUUAUAAUAUUGAUUUUAUUUUAAAAUUUUGACUUUAAUAUAGUAUUAGUUUUAAUUUAUUAAUUUAUAAAUUUUUUUUAUGAAUUUAAGUUCAGUUUUUAAUUUGUUUUGAAUAAAUAGUUUUAAUUUAUAUAUUUUUAUUGUUAUUAUAAAUGGGGAGACUUGUGGAGAGAAAUAAAACAAAAUUUUGCAUAAACUGUGGCG